GACGCUUCGGUCCUUGGAGGAGACAUCUAACCCCUGGUUUCCAUACUGGGAAAAGGCCUCAAUAACCCCCAGCUCUCGGAGAGGUUGUGAAGGUUGAAAGUGGUGCCUGACCCACAACAGGUACCCAAGACUGCGUUCCCAUUGUCCCCUUAGUCCCCACGAACACAGCAGACGGCGAUCUUUAGCAAGGCUACUUCCGACCCUCGUCCUCAGUAAAGUGGGAAGUAGGGCCUGGGCUGGAAGGGGUGACAGGGCGGGGUCGGGUUGUCCUUUCUGAGAAAUCAUGUGCCGAUCCACAAACAAGAUGGCCAUGCAACAAACUUCCAUGUUCUUGAAAACGUUUUGAUGCUUACAAAAAGAAACGAUCGGCGUCGUGCAGCCCGACGUGCCCGUGGCCCAGAGUACAACAGCCCAAGAUGACCCAAGACAUCUUCCCCCUCACAAGGAGACGCAAGGUUCUGUAUUUUCCCGCGUUUCUGUGACUUCUGAAAGAAGUGAACAGCGAGAGCUGAGGCUUUUACCUCCCAUCGCCUGAGCCCACGGACCCUGGGUCCUAAGGAGCGAUGUCCACCCACCCUUGAGAGGAGCGCCUGGCCUGGGCAGGGUCCCUCGUCACGCAGGCCGGAAAUGAGAAGAUUUCCGCCACCCUUGUGUUCAUGCGCCCCAGCGUCUCAGAAGUGAGGCCCAGCCUCAUGAGUUUUAAUUGGACAACAGAUUCCUACUUCCCCUAGGAACCUUGCAGCAACAUCAAGAUGGACCUUUUAUCACAUUUCUGGAAGGGUGAAGGUGCUCUGGAAAAAGCCAGCGGAGAGAGAGGGAGGCCCUCCCGCCAGAGGGAAAGCUAAGCCACAGCAGGCGCUAGGACUCCCGGAGGAGAUGACACAGCCACCGGCUGGCACUUGUCGGCUCGGGCUGCACCGAACAUCAGCGGUCAUGACGACGCUCCCCGCGUCCCCAGGGACAGUGGCGCCAAGCCCGUCCAGAGCUGCUCCAGAGAGUGAGGGACCCAGCACGGCAUCUCUCUCCCUGCCUGUGGCUUGACAGGCCCACACUCUUGGCUCCCUGGGCAGAAAAGAUACGGAACUCCUCCUGGCGUGGCAGCAGCAAUACCCCUGUGCCUUUGGCCUCCGUCCCCUGGUGGCGUGGAGCCCAGAGACGCCAACAUCCUCUCGGACUAAGGAAGCCCUUCCAGAACUUGCCACCAGCCCCGGAAUCCUGGCUGCUCCCCCAGUGAUGGAGCAUUGGACGUGGUGGCUCUCGGGGCUGAAUUCCGGAGUGCUAACGUGGACCAGGAAGUAAGGCUUAUGAGACUUGGUCUUCGAGUGCCCUCCUUUCUCCCUCGCUUGACACCUGAAUUUGGCCUCCUGCUCUACAUCUGCCCGCCAAAUGCCUCUUUUAGCCUCGCUGUUACCCCGCGGCGUCCCAUUGUUUAUACAAGUUAUUUCUCCUCCGCCAAGAAUUUCUUAGUACAUCAGUUAGAACGUAGGAUUUUGAGAGAUUCGUGCUGUCAUCCUUCCCCCCACUCCUGCACUUUAGUGAUUUGCAUGUAGAAGUUACUCAGUCCAGAUUUGUUGAAGGUGGAUUCAACCUGGAUGUCUUCUGUGCAUUUACUCUUGUUAUCUGUUUUGGUCCCAAAUCCUUUCCCCGUGUGGUUCCGGAGUUCCUCCCGCUUCAGGGUUUGGUCUUCUCUAGGGAUGCUGGUAUCUCCUAAUUUAGACAGGAGUGUUCACUGUAGCUGAUUUCCCAUCAACUUGGAGGAAAAGAACUCAUACAUUUUUAGGGCUGAAAGAUUCUCCAGAAAGUAUUUAGUCCAUUUCUUAAUAAGAGGCCAGGUAACUCGUCCGGGGUCAACUGGUUACAUACGCGACAGAAGAGAGAAGCCAAAUGUCCUGGUUUGAUGUGAGGCCAUUGGUCGGGUGGAUGAAGACAUCAUCUGUAUGGCUGGUGUAGGGUGAGUGGGGGCGUCACAUCGUAUCUGUUCUGGAAGGUUCCUCCGUUGGCUCCUGGGCAUUUCAGCUUAACUUUAACAGCUUCCGAGUGAGUUUAGACACCUUCAUCAUGUCUACUCCACAGGGGCUGCGUGGGGGCAGCUGGAAGACGGACCCACUCCCAACACAAUCAGGUCACACAGACGGUGUUCCUAGCAGCAGAGAUGGAACGGUCUCCUGUUCCAUCUCGCAAAUCCACAGAUAUGACUGACAGGGAGUGUUUUCCACUUAGAGUCAUGCAGAUCUCAGAGGUAGGUCUGUUUCCAACCACUGAGGAAGCAUAAAGCAAAACAGUCUUGUCGGCAUAGACAUAUGCCUCAUUGUUUUCAAUCUGAACACAUGUUUUACAUCAAGAGAAGGGCUUGUGGUCGGGGUAGGGGGAGCUGAAGGGAGAUUCAAAGGUUCUUCAGCACUCAAAGAUCUCAACCUCUUCAAAGUUUCAACCCUCAGAGCUCUUACGACGUUUCAUCCCACUCAGCGGAGACGUUUCCCUGCCCACACUCUCAGGUGCAUGCGUGGGGACUCGAGUGUGGUCCAGAAGGACGGAGAAAGGUAACAGGAUGGUCACCUCACUGCAGAGAUUUUCCCCAGAGGAUGUCAUUUCUCCAUUGGGAUUUGAUGAGCUCCCUAAGGCACAUUCACGUGCAGAGAGCAGGUGAUAUCUGGCUGCUAGAGAGGCCGCAUCAAGCCAUGGCGGUCAUGGGUACCACGAGCUCACCCUGGAGGGGAAUAAGCACCUUCUAUCUGGGACGCCGGGCGGGUGGGUGCUGGCCAGAACCAGUGUCAGGGACAACAGGUUGAUCAAGAGAAAAGGGAAGGGUUUGCAUUCAGUUAUCAUCACUUUCUAGCCUCAGGGUUCUCAACCGCAAGUUGGAGAUAAUAAUAACUUCCUUCCAUGAUAUUUUUGGGGUUCACCAAAUGCGAUCAUUACCUGUGAAAGUGCUUGGCACAGAGAGAUGAGGGGCAGUGCCCUCGACAGGAAGGAAUUCCGGCACCCACGCCAGCUCCUGGCUGUCUUCUUUCUGAGAUGACUGUUUCUAAGGGGAAGGAGGAGCAAGAUGAUGCCUCCAACCUGCAGGUCACGUCCAGGCAAGUCAAGUUGGAGUGUAAGAGUACCACUUACACUGGGCCCCAAGCGGUUUGUCGUCAGAGGGCCCCGUGGGAAACAGAGUGGCAGGGUGAUGGGGGGGGGGCAGGAGAGCCCAGCAGGAGUCCUGGGGUCACUGCUCGCACUCUUGCUACUUUGGAUGGGUUCUUUGCCUCCUUGGCCGUCUAUAAAUUGGCCCGUCUAUAAAUUGGAGCAGACUGCACACAGCAUAGGGUCGUGCCAAGGCUCCUGCAGAAUGAUCCGGGAAGACAGCUGGAAAUGACAAGGUGCUGAAACAUGUGUGAUGGUGUUGUUGUUCUUAAAGGAAGGGAGAAAGGAGGGAGAGCAUGAGAAGUGCGGGGGAAGGGAUUAGCCUCUAUUUAAAUUUUUUUUUUUUAAAUUUUAAAAUAGUUUUAAGUUUCCAGAAGAGUUGAAAAAAGGGUCUGAAGAGUUCCCACAUACGGCACAUCCAGUUUCUCCUACGGUCCAGCUCCUAUAUUAGGAUGGAACAUCUAUCCUGUUUCAUAACCAAUAUUGAUAACACUAUUGCUAACUAAUUUUUUUUUUCAACGUUUAUUUUAUUUUUGGGACAGAGAGAGACAGAGCAUGAACGGGGGAGGGGCAGAGAGAGAGGGAGACACAGAAUCUGAAACAGGCUCCAGGCUCUGAGCCAUCAGCCCAGAGCCCGACGCGGGGCUCGAACUCACGGACCGCGAGAUCGUGACCUGGCUGAAGUCGGACGCUUAACCGACUGCGCCACCCAGGCGCCCCCACUAUUGCUAACUAAAGUCUAUGCUUUCUUCAUAUUUCAUUUGUUUUGACCAAAUGUCCUUCCACUCUAGCGUUCCAUCCAGGAUCCCACAUUACAUUUCGUUGUCAGGUCCCCUUUAGGCUCCAGUUGGCUGGGCAGUUUCUCUGAUUUUCUUUGUUUUUGAUGACCCUGACGGUUUUCAGGAGUACUGGUCAGGCGUUUUGUAGAACGUCCCUACACUGGGGUUUGUCUGGUGUUUCCUCAUGAUUAGGGUAGGAUUGUGGAUUUCUGGGAGGAAGACACAGAGGUAAAGUGUCAUUCUUAUCACAUCAUAUCAAGAGUACAGGCAUCUACAUGACUUAUCACUCUUGAUGUUGACCCUGACGUCUGGCUGAGGUAGUGUGUAUAUGUGUUGAGUUUCUUUUUCUCCCUUCUCAUACUUUAUUCUUUUUUUUUUUAAGGUUAUGUAUUUAUUUUGAGACAGCUGUCAGUGCAGAGCCCCACAUAGGGCUCAAACUCACGAUCCACAAGAUCGUGACCUGAACGGAAGUCAAGAGUUGGACGCUUAACGGACUGAGCCACCCACGCUGCCCAUAGUGUAGACCUUGAAAGGGAACCACUGCGCACUCCACGCUCAACGAAUGGGGAGCUCUGCUCCACCUUCUUGGGGGAGGAGUAGUUACCUCGACUAUUUGAAAUCGUACCCCGUGGGAGAGUUGUCUAUUCUCCCCCACUCGUGUAUUCAUGUGAUCAGUACAGAAUAUUUCAUAUUCGUAUGUAUCAGUAUGAAUCAUGCAUAUUUGUUUUAUACUUGUGUUAUUUACAAUCCAGUACUACUUUAUUGCUCAGAUUAUACCAGUUUGGGUCACUGAGAGCUCUUUCAAAUGGCCGCUGGGUUCCUUCGACACACCCCCACCAUCGUGCAUUGUCGUUCGUUUGUUUUUCUGAGCACUUUCUCACUUUCUGACAUUACGAGAUGCUCCAGGAUCACCUUGUAUAUUCCCUGCCCAUCCUAAAGUCGGCCAUUUCUUCAAGAUGUCCUAAUUCCUUUUUAUCAGAGAAUGAUCCUAACAUCUGAAAUCUGGGCACCCGAUGCUCUCAUUGCAAAAAGGGUGUCAUUUCUUGUAUGCUCUGUUAGCUAACAGAUGUGUUUACACAUGUAAACAUGUAAAUAUGUGUUCACACCAACCUGUAUCUACAGAUAUUUUGUACGCAUCCCUCUGUGUCUGUAUUAGGCUAGACGUGAGUUCUUACUGACGUCUCCAAUGCUAAUCCCUGGCCACGUGAAUCAUUCCAGCCUCCCCGCUUUGUUUGCCUGUGUCCUGUCACUCCAGCAGUGAGGACCUUGGCUCCCGCCAUCGGCCACCCAUCUACUUCAGUUGUCAGUUCCAAAAUUCACAAUGGGUGGCUUCAGAAUCAUUAACGCGUGUCCCAUGGGAAACAACUUUACCAGUCGGAAUACAGUGUUACGUAUAAUUCCUUUUGCUUUUGGUUUUACAAUUUUCACUCAUUUCCAGUAGUACUUGGGUCAGCACCUUUUAUACCCACCCAUUCAGGGGAGGGAUUUCCUGUAUUUGUAUUACCGUUAGAUUUAUUUAUUUGUUUAUUUAUUUUUGGUCAGACUCAGCAGUCCAUCCCAGAAUCCCCCAGCCUCUUGAAUAAUUUUUAAAAAUGUGCAUGCAUUUGAAAAUUUCCUGAGACGAAAACCCGGACGACUGAUUUUGGCUCUUUAUUUUUUUUCUAAGACAUACGUUUCACACUAUACACUUCCACUGUUCUGCAUUCUGUCACUAUGGGUUAGUUUCUGUUUUUAAAAUUUUUACGUGAACAGAUUUGUGCAGCGUGUGCCCCGCCCCUCCGGCUGCUUCACUCGGGGUAAUUAUCUCGGAUUCAUUCGUGUUCUUGCCUGUGUCGAUAGGUUGUCUCUUCUUACUGCUCAGUCAUAUUCCAUCAUGUGGAUGUGCCACUGUGUGUUUACCUAUUUACCUGUAGCUGUACCUCUGGAUUCUUUCCAGUUUUGAGCCAUUAAAAAUAAAGGUGCUGCUAGCGUUCGUGUGGGAGUCUUUGUGUGGACGUACGCUUUCAUUUCUCUUGGCUAAACGCUUAGGAGUAGAAUGGCUGGGUCAUAUGGUUAAGAGUAUGCUUAACUUUGAAGACGCUGCCCAUUCGUUCUCCAAAGUGGGUGGACCACGUUCCAUUCCCACCACCGCGUGUAAGGUUCCGGUUCUCGCCCACCUCAGCACGGAGAGUAUUCAGCGCCGAGAGUUAAUUUCAGACAUUCCAGAAGGUGUGUGGGGUUAUCUCAUCGUUGUUUCUGUUUGCAUUUCCCUGGUUACUAACGAGAUUGCGCUUCUGUACCAUUCAUAUUCCUUCUUUGGUGAAGUACACGCUCAGUUCCUUCUCCCACUUAUAAAACCUGGUUGCUUGCAUUUUUCUUAUUGAUUUGGAGGUGGUUGUUUUUUUUUUUAAUAUUCUGGAUUCAAAGUUUAUUAUCAGACACGUGAUCUGCAGAUAGCUCCUAGUCCGUGGCUUAUCUAUUCCCUUCUUUACAGGGUCCCUCAUAGAGCAGAAGUUUUAAAACUCUCUGAAGUCCAAUCUAUCAAACUUUUUUGCGUCAUGCUUUUGCUGUCUUAUCUAGAAAGUCUUUGCCUAGGGGCGCCUGGGUGGCUCCGUUGGUUAAGCCACGGACUCUUGAUCUCCGCUCAGGUCAUGAUCUCACAGCUCCUGAGAUUGAGCCCCACAUCAGGUUCUGCGCUGACCGCACAGAGCCUGCUUGGGGUUCUCUCCCUCCCUCUCUCUCUGCUCCUCCCCUGCUUGCACACGCAUGUGCGCACACCUUCUCUCUACUUUAAAAAGGUAAAUAGGGGCCCCUGGGUGGCUCAGUCAGCUGAGCGUCUGACUUCAGCUCAGGUCAUGAUCUCGCGUUUGUGAGACACUGGGCUCGCGGCUGUCAGCCCAUCAGCACAGAGCCCGCUUCAGAUCCUCUGUCCCCGCCCCCUCUCUGCCCCUCCCCUGCUGGCGUGCUCUCUCUCAAAAAAUAAAUAAAAUAAUUAAUUAAUUAAUUAAUUAAAAGUCUCUGCCUAACUCAGAGUUGCAGAUUCAAUUUCAAAGUCUCCUGGACCUGCCUGUCUGCCUAGAAUUUUUCUUCUAUAUUUUCAUGUUGCACUUUACACAGUUGUACGUUUUUAAAAUGGGCCUGUGAUCCAUUUUGAGUUAAUUUUUAGAUACGGUGUGAGGUGUUUGUCAAAGUCCAAUUUUUCAUGCAGGUAAUUAUUCAGUUGUUCCCCAGCAUUUACCGAAAGAGUAUUUUUUUUUUCUAUGGAGCUGUCUUGGAUUCUUUGCUGAAGAUCAGUUGUGUACAUAUCUGCAGGUCUAUUUCCGAAACAUAUAUUUUGUUCUCUUGAUCCGUCUGUCUGUCUGUCUGCCACUGUAUACUGCUUCCUUCCAGGGACUUUAUAACAAGACCUGAAAUCUGGUAGUGCUCGUCUUAAAAAGGGGUUCUCUUUUUCAGAAUCCUCUUGGUUUUCGCAGAGCUACUGUGUUUUCUUUUGAAUCUUAGGACCAAUUUGUUGAUUUGGACAAAAACCAAAGGAAUUAGGGAUUUUUGACUGGGACCGUGUUGAAUCUACGUCCGUUUAUUUACAUUGUACUCAAUCCCUCUCAGCAAUACUGGAUCGUUUUCAGUAUAUAGGCCUUUCUUAUCCUUUGUCAGAUCUAUCCCCAAGUCGUUCUGAUCUUUAUGUUUCUAGAAAUGGUAUUUUUUAUUUCAAUUUCGGAUUGCCUACUGCUUGUUACAUAGGCAUGCAACUGAUUUUCUUGUGUUGAUCUUGUAUCUUGCACCCCUUCCAGACGCGCUGGUUCCUUUCAGUGGCUUUUUGUAGAUUCAUAUAUUUUUUUUACCUUUUUGUUUGUUUGUUUGUUUCGUGUGAGAGAAUAAAUUUCAAUAAAGCUACUCCCAUUGACUGUA
This is a long non-coding RNA of Felis catus (domestic cat), 7793 nucleotides long. RefSeq lists it as uncharacterized. The transcript has 7 exons. Lineage: Eukaryota; Metazoa; Chordata; Mammalia; Carnivora; Felidae. The record is from RefSeq and is a predicted model, not a curated record.